Molecule: ribosomal RNA, 461 nt
Filed under: uncultured bacterium
Lineage: Bacteria
Description: partial 16S ribosomal RNA
Rfam family: Bacterial small subunit ribosomal RNA
Source: RNAcentral
CUACGGGACGCUCCAGUCGAGAAUCUUCCGCAAUGGACGAAAGUCUGACGGAGCGACGCCGCGUGCGGGAUGAAGGCCUUCGGGUUGUAAACCGCUGUCAGUGGGGAGGAAAUGCAUCAGGGUUCUCCCUGGUGUUUGACCGAUCCGCAGAGGAAGCGCAGGCUAAGUUCGUGCCAGCAGCCGCGGUAACACGAACUGCGCGAACGUUAUUCGGAAUCACGGGGCUUAAAGAGUUCGUAGGCGGCCUUUCAAGUCGGGUGUGAAAUCCCUCGGCUCAACCGAGGAAUUGCGCCUGAUACUGUUGGGCUUGAGGGGGAUAGGGGUGAGCGGAACUGAUGGUGGAGCGGUGAAAUGCGUUGAUAUCAUCAGGAACACCGGUGGCGAAGGCGGCUCACUGGAUCUCUUCUGACGCUGAGGAACGAAAGCUAGGGGAGCGAACGGGAUUAGAUACCCCCGUAGUC